This 497-nucleotide ribosomal RNA is filed under the name uncultured bacterium. RNAcentral's name for it is "partial 16S ribosomal RNA". It matches the Rfam family "Bacterial small subunit ribosomal RNA", at positions 28 to 507 of the family's 1533-position model. The record is from RNAcentral.
GAUGAACGCUGGCUGCGUGCCUAAUACAUGCAAGUCGAGCGAACAGACGAGGAGCUUGCUCCUCUGACGUUAGCGGCGGACGGGUGAGUAACACGUGGAUAACCUACCUAUAAGACUGGGAUAACUUCGGGAAACCGGAGCUAAUACCGGAUAAUAUAUUGAACCGCAUGGUUCAAUAGUGAAAGACGGUUUUGCUGUCACUUAUAGAUGGAUCCGCGCCGCAUUAGCUAGUUGGUAAGGUAACGGCUUACCAAGGCGACGAUGCGUAGCCGACCUGAGAGGGUGAUCGGCCACACUGGAACUGAGACACGGUCCAGACUCCUACGGGAGGCAGCAGUAGGGAAUCUUCCGCAAUGGGCGAAAGCCUGACGGAGCAACGCCGCGUGAGUGAUGAAGGUCUUCGGAUCGUAAAACUCUGUUAUUAGGGAAGAACAAAUGUGUAAGUAACUAUGCACGUCUUGACGGUACCUAAUCAGAAAGCCACGGCUAACUACGUG